CCGCCCUACAGUAAUAACAUGACCUCACGUUGAUGAGCAUAUACACAAAUAUGAAGGCGGGCUGGAACCUCUCGGGGUUACAGCCUUGCUGAAUUAUUCACCCUUGUCUUUUGCGUACUUCUUGUUUCCUUGGUGGGUUCGCCCACCACUAGGACAAACAUAAACCUUUUGUAAUUGCAAUCAGCGUCAGUAACAAAUUAAUAAUUACAACUUUCAACAACGGAUCUCUUGGUUCUGGCAUCGAUGAAGAACGCAGCGAAAUGCGAUAAGUAGUGUGAAUUGCAGAAUUCAGUGAAUCAUCGAAUCUUUGAACGCACAUUGCGCCCUUUGGUAUUCCAAAGGGCAUGCCUGUUCGAGCGUCAUUUGUACCCUCAAGCUUUGCUUGGUGUUGGGCGUCUUGUCUCUAGCUUUGCUGGAGACUCGCCUUAAAGUAAUUGGCAGCCGGCCUACUGGUUUCGGAGCGCAGCACAAGUCGCACUCUCUAUCAGCAAAGGUCUAGCAUCCAUUAAGCCUUUUUUUCAACUUUUGACCUCGGAUCAGGUAGGGAUACCCGCUG
RNAcentral lists this ribosomal RNA (556 nucleotides) under Alternaria alternata. RNAcentral describes it as "eukaryotic LSU rRNA". The stretch from base 209 to 362 matches the Rfam family "5.8S ribosomal RNA". Lineage: Eukaryota; Fungi; Ascomycota; Dothideomycetes; Pleosporales; Pleosporaceae. The record is from RNAcentral.